GGGGAUGUAGCUCAGUGGUCGAGAGCAUGCUAUGCAUGUAUGAGGCCCCGGGUUCAAUACCCGGCCUCCA
RNAcentral lists this non-coding RNA (70 nucleotides) under Gadus morhua (Atlantic cod). RNAcentral describes it as "tRNA". It matches the Rfam family "tRNA". Rfam says of the family: Transfer RNA (tRNA) molecules are approximately 80 nucleotides in length. Their secondary structure includes four short double-helical elements and three loops (D, anti-codon, and T loops). Further hydrogen bonds mediate the characteristic L-shaped molecular structure. tRNAs have two regions of fundamental functional importance: the anti-codon, which is responsible for specific mRNA codon recognition, and the 3' end, to which the tRNAs corresponding amino acid is attached (by aminoacyl-tRNA synthetases). tRNAs cope with the degeneracy of the genetic code in two manners: having more than one tRNA (with a specific anti-codon) for a particular amino acid; and 'wobble' base-pairing, i.e. permitting non-standard base-pairing at the 3rd anti-codon position. Lineage: Eukaryota; Metazoa; Chordata; Actinopteri; Gadiformes; Gadidae. The record is from Rfam by way of RNAcentral.